Molecule: ribosomal RNA, 141 nt
Filed under: uncultured eukaryote
Lineage: Eukaryota
Description: partial 18S ribosomal RNA
Rfam family: Eukaryotic small subunit ribosomal RNA
Source: RNAcentral
UGGUGGAGUGAUUUGUCUGGUUAAUUCCGUUAACGAACGAGACCGCUUCCUGCUAAAUAGUUCAACGAAUGUUCUCAUUCGUAUGACGCUUCUUAGAGGGACUAUCGUCCGUGUAGGCGAUGGAAGUUGGCGGCAAUAACA